GCAUUUGGGGAAAUGGGUUAAGCUAUUGUGAAAUUUCUUCAAGGAAUUAAGCUAGGAUAUCAUUUCAGUUACUUGUAGAAUUACUUUUCUCAUACCAGUUAUGAAAUGCUGCAAGAUAAUGUUGAAGGAUAUCGUCGAGAAAUAACAUCACUUCAUGAGAGAAAUCAGAAACUCACUGCCACAACUCAAAAGCAAGAACAGAUUAUCAAUACGAUGACUCAAGAUUUGAGAGGAGCAAAUGAGAAGCUAGCUGUCGCAGAAGUAAGAGCAGAAAAUUUGAAGAAGGAAAAGGAAAUGCUUAAAUUGUCUGAAGUUCGUCUUUCUCAGCAAAGAGAGUCUUUGUUAGCUGAACAAAGGGGGCAAAACUUACUGCUAACUAAUCUGCAAACAAUUCAGGUAACCAAAUAAAAAGCCUAUUUA
This 420-nucleotide small RNA is filed under the name Pongo abelii (Sumatran orangutan). RNAcentral's name for it is "retained intron". Lineage: Eukaryota; Metazoa; Chordata; Mammalia; Primates; Hominidae. The record is from RNAcentral.